RNAcentral lists this ribosomal RNA (484 nucleotides) under uncultured bacterium. RNAcentral describes it as "partial 16S ribosomal RNA". It matches the Rfam family "Bacterial small subunit ribosomal RNA", at positions 30 to 507 of the family's 1533-position model. The record is from RNAcentral.
AUUGAACGCUGGCGGCAGGCCUAACACAUGCAAGUCGAGCGGAUGAAGGGAGCUUGCUCCUGGAUUCAGCGGCGGACGGGUGAGUAAUGCCUAGGAAUCUGCCUGGUAGUGGGGGAUAACGUCCGGAAACGGGCGCUAAUACCGCAUACGUCCUGAGGGAGAAAGUGGGGGAUCUUCGGACCUCACGCUAUCAUAUGAGCCUAGGUCGGAUUAGCUAGUUGGUGGGGUAAAGGCCUACCAAGGCGACGAUCCGUAACUGGUCUGAGAGGAUGAUCAGUCACACUGGAACUGAGACACGGUCCAGACUCCUACGGGAGGCAGCAGUGGGGAAUAUUGGACAAUGGGCGAAAGCCUGAUCCAGCCAUGCCGCGUGUGUGAAGAAGGUCUUCGGACUGUAAAGCACUUUAAGUUGGGAGGAAGGGCAGUAAGUUAAUACCUUGCUGUUUUGACGUUACCAACAGAAUAAGCACCGGCUAACUUCGUG